AUUGGGCUGAAUGCUUAUCAUUAGUUUUUGUUUUCAUUUUCAUGCACAAAUGGAUAGUUUUGAGUUUUUAACAUAGUUGGGUUUUCAAAAAAAAAACUAAUGAUAAGCAUUCAGCNNNNNNNNNNNUGAUCAUCUUAUCCAUAAUAAGAAGGAAAUGGUAAUGAAUUUUGGCAAGAAGGGGUUACGUAAUGCCUUUGUAAAAUAGAAAAGAUUGUGGCGCUCAAUACUAUCCAUUUGUGCAUGAAAAUGAAAAC
RNAcentral lists this unclassified non-coding RNA (254 nucleotides) under Hevea brasiliensis (rubber tree). Lineage: Eukaryota; Viridiplantae; Streptophyta; Magnoliopsida; Malpighiales; Euphorbiaceae. The record is from RNAcentral.